GAAUCAACGCUGGCGGCGUGCCUAACACAUGCAAGUCGAGCGAGAAAGGGGGCUUCGGCCCUGAGUAAAGCGGCGCACGGGUGAGUAACACGUGGGUAAUCUGCCCUAGAGUGGGGAAUAACAUCGGAAACCGAUGCUAAUACCGCAUACGAUCACGAGGUCUUCGGAUUUUUGUGAUGAAAGGAGCAAUCCGCUCUUGGAGGAGCCCGCGGCUGAUUAGCUAGNGGUAAGGUAAUGGCUUACCAAGGCUACGAUCAGUAUCCGGUCUGAGAGGACGGUCGGACACACUGGAACUGAGACACGGUCCAGACUCCUAC
Molecule: ribosomal RNA, 317 nt
Filed under: uncultured bacterium
Lineage: Bacteria
Description: bacterial SSU rRNA
Rfam family: Bacterial small subunit ribosomal RNA
Source: RNAcentral